ACGCGGGAGAGAUGGGCAAUCAGCCCAUCAAGAAACGUUCACCAAGCGGGCACGUUCUGCCAGGCGCUGGAGAUGGCCAAGGGCAGUCCCUGGUCGCGAGGGGCUUACACUCUCACGGGGGAGAUCCCACGCAAACCCCUGUAGACGGAAAAAAUGGCGGGGGGGGGUGCUCUAGAGGAAAGGCGCUGGAAUCCCGAGGGGCCGGGAAGCCUCCCCGUAGAUGGUGGGACAGACAUAAGCCCGCGUGGGGCACGUCCAGAGAGGAUGCCCGGAGCCCCGAGACCGAGGCUCUUGUUCCCGUAGCUGCCGGGCCACUGGAUCGCGUGGUGAAUCCGGUGUAAGAAGCCUGGGGCCAGGCUUUGGAGGGACUUGGAAUGUAUCUGAGGUUGUAGCUCAAGGGGAGCCCCUGCAUUCACUGAGUGCAGGGAGGGGGGGUGGCAUGACACACCUGAGCUUUAGAGCAAUCCUUUUGGUGGAUGGAUGAAGGCGGGGGCUGUAGGGGGAGAGCCUGGAGGUGGGCAGCACCUCCCGGACCCCAUCACCUACUUCAGUAGUCCAGGUGAUGAGGGUCUACACCAGGGUGGGGGCCGUGUCCUGUCAGAGCAGAGAAGGGGGCAUAUGGGAAAGCGAUUGCAAGGGUAAACAGCAGACUGGUACCAUAUUGGCUAUAGGGGGUGAGAGGCAGUGAGGAGUCAGAGAUGACCCCUAGCUUGUGAGCCUGGGGGCCUGGGGGGAUAGGAAUGGAGUAGGUGACAGAGGGCAAGGGUUUAGAGGAGAAAUAAUGGCUGAUUUGGGACAUGUUGAAUUUUAGAUGUCUGAAAGGCAGUUGGAGAUGAACAGAGAGACUGGAGGAGGAAAGGUAGGUUUGAGAUAGUAAUUAAAUUUGUGGGGGCUGAUGGGAUCACCAGGUAUAGCAGACUAGAGCUGAGCUUCUUAAACUGUGGGUCUGAAAGGUCAUGUAUAGCUAUUUUAUCUACCUACUAUAUACCUGGGGCCAAGGGUAGCUGAAGUUUAAGCCCUGGUCUAGAGAGAGAAGGGGGCCCAGGACAGAACCUUCAGGACACCUAGGAUUAGAGGGAGUGGUCUGCAGGAGGAUCCAGAGGCAGGUGACAAAGGAGCAGCCAGAGAGAGCGACCCACAGUGAGUAGCCAAGACUACAGCAAGCUCAGGGAGACCAAGGAUUGAGAAAUCACCUUUGGAUUUGGUGAUUAGAUCGUUUGUGCCUUGGCCAAGGAAAUGAUGAGGUCGGAAGCUGAACUGGAAGGGGUUAAGAGAGAAAGUGGAGGCACCUGUUGUAGAGUAGUUUAGCCACAGAGGGCAGAUGAGACAUAGAAGAUGGGAGGGAUGGAAGGGUCAAAGGAAGAGUUGGGUUUUUGGUUUGUUUGUUUUUUCCAGAAGAGAUAGGGGCAUGUUUGUAGAGAUAAGUCAGGAGAGGGAGAGAUGGAGGCUAAGUGAUGGAGUGGAGAUGAGAACCAUCCCAAGAUAACCACAUUUCCAGAUGUUCAAUAGGCCGUUGAAGGUGGAAAUCUGGAGGUCAGCAGAGUCGGGCCCUAGCUGGUGGCUUCAGGCACCAGGGACAGACAGGACACAGACCCAGGCCUCCACGAAGUGCCCCAGAGGGAGGGAAGGACAGCCCUUGGCUACACCUGCUCUCGAUACACUUGAUUGUAAACUCCUUCAGGACCCGUAAGGAUGCCCAGGGCACGCCACCUAGCAGCUCUCAAAAUCUAAGAAGCUCAGUAGAAGGGCCAUUUCCUGUGUAACACUUUGCCUGCCUCCCCCCACUCCCAUCUUACCUGUAUUUAUUUAUAUGAGGAAACGGUGUUUGCCACGAUAGAAACAAGCUCCCUGAAGGCAGAGACAACAUUGUUCACGUCUUUGCGUCCUCUGAACUUAGUUCACUUCCUGGCAGUGCAUACAAUGUAAUAAAUACUUCUUCAUUGGCUGAUGGUUUGUUCUCUAGAGUCUCAGAUUUGGGAGAGUGGAACUUGACCUAGAUUCAGUUCAUUCCACAAAUAUUGGUUGAGUACCUACUGUGUGCCAAUAAGCCAGUCAUUAAAAUGUAUUGAUCACCUACUGUGUGCCAGGCACUGGAUUAAGUUGAGGGAGAGGGGCAGCCCUCAAAGCUGAAGAAAUGACAGUUCCUGCCUUCCCUGCGCAUCUCCUGGGUGGGGCAUCUUUCGGAUGAAGCGUGUCUCUGACAGACAGGCUCUCAAGGUCUGAUGAUCCUCAAAGCAGCCUCCAGGACUACCCUUGGACUCUAGACCUAUAGAGCAUAUGUUGGGCAGGUCCUGCCAUGCCAGGUGACCUACUGUGUGCCAGCCAGGCAUCUAGACUGUCUGUCAUUGGAGGAUCAACCUAGCUCAGUGCAAGGAGGCUCCGUGUCCAGCAAGGGGUUGGCCUCAGAAGAUGAGCGUUCUUUAAACCUAAGACACCAAGGCACUGGGUUCUAAAACAGUGGAGGGAGGACUCAUGGAAGGGACUCUUGGAUCUUGGGAAGAUGUGGAAUUUGGAGGUCAAAACCUUUGGUCUCCCCUUCAAGCAGACCUGCAAACAGUGGCAGUAGAAACACCCCUGGAGCUGGGACCCCUUCACCCCAGGACCUCAGAGCUGGCAGGAGCCCCUGAGCAAGAAUCCCCCAACAAGGGGACCUCCAGGAGGCAGCCUGCUCCACCCCAGGCAGCACUCACAAUUGGCAAGUUUCCGUGACAACAGGCCUCUAUGGGUCUCUGCACAAGCUAGCCCAGUUCUGUCCCAACACCCUUCAAGGCUCAGCUCAGGAGCCCUGUAAAGUUCCACCCUGAUCCUGUCUUGUAUUCCAUCACCAGGGCAGUAAAGAGAAGGACUGUGUACAGCAGACCUUCCUGCCACCAUUGGCCAACAAGUUAGGGGGAACCCGGCACAAUGGGACAACUUCUGGGAUCCUCUAGGUGCUGACAGUGGUCUCGCUAGUCCUUCCUUGUUUGAAUGCACUGGACUUCCUGUAAAGGUCCAAGGGGCUUGACUCAACCUCUUCCAUGCUCGGCUUGGACUCAGCCCCAGGCUGCCUUUUGUUGUCCUUCACCUCAAUUCUGGAUGACUUGGGUAGGCUGCUCCAAGUGUCUCCCCACUCCAAGCUUAGCCUCUACUCAGCCAUGUGAUUUUCCUAAAACACGGGUCUAACCACGUGACCCUUCUGCUCCAUAAACUCCAGGGCCUCCCUGUCACCUCCAAGAUGAAAUACAAAAUGCUCUUUUGGGCAUCCAAGGCCCUUCAUGACCAUCAGUCGAGGCCGGAGUUUGGGCCGGUCCUCCAGGUGGUCAUUUUCUUUGAUGAAGCUCCCCUUGCUACCUGUCAAUUCCACUGGGUGGGUGCAGGCUCUCUAGCACUAACUCCCAAGGUCACCUCCAAACCCAUCCUACUUAAGUCAAUAUGGGGCAGCUAGGUGGCGCUGGAUAGAGCACUGGCCCUGCAGUAUGGAGGAUCUGAGUU
Dromiciops gliroides (monito del monte) is the source of this 3471-nucleotide long non-coding RNA. RefSeq lists it as uncharacterized. The record is from RefSeq and is a predicted model, not a curated record. Lineage: Eukaryota; Metazoa; Chordata; Mammalia; Microbiotheria; Microbiotheriidae. The transcript has 3 exons.